GGGCCAUUAACUCAGUUGGCUAGAGUGCUUCCAUGACAUGGAAGAAGUCGGGGGUUCAAGUCCCUCAUGGCCCA
This 74-nucleotide transfer RNA is filed under the name Acidimicrobiia bacterium. RNAcentral describes it as "tRNA-Val". It matches the Rfam family "tRNA". From Rfam's summary of the family: Transfer RNA (tRNA) molecules are approximately 80 nucleotides in length. Their secondary structure includes four short double-helical elements and three loops (D, anti-codon, and T loops). Further hydrogen bonds mediate the characteristic L-shaped molecular structure. tRNAs have two regions of fundamental functional importance: the anti-codon, which is responsible for specific mRNA codon recognition, and the 3' end, to which the tRNAs corresponding amino acid is attached (by aminoacyl-tRNA synthetases). tRNAs cope with the degeneracy of the genetic code in two manners: having more than one tRNA (with a specific anti-codon) for a particular amino acid; and 'wobble' base-pairing, i.e. permitting non-standard base-pairing at the 3rd anti-codon position. Lineage: Bacteria; Bacillati; Actinomycetota; Acidimicrobiia. The record is from RNAcentral.